Molecule: non-coding RNA, 31 nt
Filed under: Mus musculus (house mouse)
Lineage: Eukaryota; Metazoa; Chordata; Mammalia; Rodentia; Muridae
Source: RNAcentral
UAAAAAGAGAACUACCACCUCAUUUCCGUGU